Molecule: long non-coding RNA, 2730 nt
Filed under: Nicotiana benthamiana
Lineage: Eukaryota; Viridiplantae; Streptophyta; Magnoliopsida; Solanales; Solanaceae
Description: long non-coding RNA (NBEN_LNC018914)
Source: RNAcentral
AAAAAGACCACCCUUGCCCCUACCCAGUCCGAACAUAACCUAACCCCCUCAAUCUCUACUUCAUUUUCAGCUCAUUCCUAAACCCUAUCUCCUAAACACCCAAGCCUCCACCGUCGUCACCUCCCCCCCCCCAAACCAGAAGGACAACCCCGUCCAUCACCUGAACUCGUCGACCCUAGUCAGCUAGCGAACCAAAUAACCCUCUCCGUCGCUGCUCAACCCAGCGGCCUUCAGCUUGUCGACCAACUUUGCUGCUGCCCGUCGACUUCCUCAUCGUUCGUCACCACCCUCACGACCAACUGAACUAACAUCAACGACCAGUCACGUCCAAACGACCCUCCCACCAGCUACUGCUUCUUCAUAUCUAACAAAAUGACCCGUACUGCUUUGACGUCCUUCAGUCGUCGUCGAAAGAGAAUAGAGGUAAAAAUGAACAGAGUGAGGGAUUGAUGGAGAAACAAACGCUCCGAUCUGAAUAACGGGGGUAAGUGAGGCAGUCCGGUCAGGGCUCGUGAGGUUUCCGGUGAGGUUCCCGGAUAGAUUUUGUUUCCGUUCGAAUUCGUUGUUGUUCCGAUCCGGUCAGUUCGUUCAAGUUUCAUUUUUUUGUCUGUGUUUCAAUUUGUUCGAUUUUUUAAACCCAAAAUCAGUGUAUAUGUUUGAUCUAUUUGUUCGUUUUUCUCCUCUUUUACUUGCUUCUUAUGUGGUAACAUCUUAUGAUUGUUUGCUGGUUCGAAUCGCUUCAUUUUUGUGUAAUGUUUGGUUCCCUGCUCUUUGUCGUUCAUCAGUUUGCAUAUAAGUUCAGUUUAUUGUCGUCUAGUAUAUCACAGAGUUUCAUUCACUUUGUUUAGCUUAAUUUAGAAUUGUUAUUUACUUAGAGUCAUGGAGUCCUUAAUCUUCAUUUUGAUACUUUUUCUGAUGUGAAUGCAAGUUUGAACUAAUUUUGGUGAAUUGAAUCUUGAUGUUGUCCUGUAUUGAGCUUAGUUUUGAUGUGCUUGUUAGGAGUUAGUUCAUAUGGCUAAGUAUUUGAUUGAUAAGCUGAAUUGGUUAUAGUUGAUAGUUUUGUUACAGAUCGAAGGAGUCGGGGUAGGACAGUGAUUUUAGGCUUCCAAUGGGGUAAUUUGGGAAUUAAAAACUUGAAGAAUUUGUUUAGUUGAGUGCUAGUGUGUCAUUAAAAUAAUGAAGUGUUUAAUAAAAGUGGGGAACAAGACAUAAUAGGGAGGUUUAAAGGGAUUGAUAAAAUAAAGAAAGACAAGGGUUAGUGGGGAACAAGACAUAAUAAUGUAAAUAAAGGGAAAAGUGGUUUGAAAAGUAAAAAGGGGAAUAAUAAUGAAAAAGCUAAAAGUGUUCACAUAGUAGAAGAAUAUAUAAAGCUGAAAAGUAAAAAGGAGGAGAGGGUAAUAAAAGAAAAGUUUUUCUUUUACAAUUGUAAAAGAAGAAAAAAAAGGCGGGCUGAAAAAGGGUAAAGUUUUUGGGAUUAAAUAAAGAGAUUAGGAGAGUCAUUAAAAAAAAGAGGGGAGGAAGAGAACUAGUUCAAAGCUUGAAUACAAAAAUAGAGUGUUGAGAGUUUGGGAAUACUUCUAAAAGCAUUGAAAGAGAGUUUGAAGAGUUCUUAGACAACAUUUUGAGAAUUCUAAAGAGCAUUUUUUUUAGUUGAGAGAGAGGUCAAAAGUUGUUAAGCAUUUCAAUUUUUGAGAGUGAGGAAAGAUCAUUGUUACAUUAAAAAGAAAAGCGGGUUAUUUGCAUUUCAGUCCAUGUGUUCAAACUUGAGUUUUGGUAUUAUUUUGGGGUUGUUCUAUCGAGCCUGUUUGGUUUUCUUCAAAUUUUUCCGGGCUUCGAAUUUGGUUAGAAUUGCCGUUGUUGGGUUGUUGUUGUUGAUGUGUUAUCUGCUACUACUGCUGAUUUGCUCCUUUCUUCUUCUAUUUUCACUACCAGGUACACAUUCUGUAUCAUCCAUGUAGCUUACCCUAUCAAACAAUGAAAUGAAAUCAUAUAUCCAAAGCCAUAUUCGUUUGGAUGCAUACAACUGUAUUUGAUCAUCUGAUGAGUAGUAUACGUAUUUAGUUGAUCUAAUUUGUAUUAUAAUAAGAACUGUAUAAUUAGACUUUUCUGAACUACUUAAGCCAUUGACUAUAAUGGAACUGAUUUGGAUCGUUUUAAUUUGAGAUUGUUUAGUUGUAGUUUAAAUACAAGUAGUACCAUGCCAAGUUUAGCAUUUAUGCCUAUUUUAAAAAGAAGGAGAAACAGUCGAAUUUUCACCUUAGUUUGAAACCAAGCCUAAAGCUGAACUUGUGAUGUAAUGCCAGAGAAUUCAUCAAUAGAUUUAAUGCUUGAUAUAUGGAUUUUGAACUACUUAAUUAGUUCUUAUUACCAGAAUUGUAUGAUCCUAUUGCUUGGUCACACUUGAAUCUGCUUCUUCAUCUUUAAUAGAUGUUUAAGGAUUAAUCAGUAGCUAAACAUCUAAAAAUGGUAAGCCUUUAACUGGUGUUCGGUCAAUCAGCUUGAAGUAAUUUUUAUAGGCAUUUGGUAGGAUUUAAUCGAGGCUGCAUUUAACCACUAGCUUGUUUGCAGGUCGUUGGGGCCUGAAUGUACUAGCAGGCGGCCCAGGUCUUGUUUCGGUCCAAUAUUUAUAGGGAUUUUUACAUAUACAUCCCAUAUAGCAAACUUUAUUACCAUUAUUGUGCUUUGUUUGGUUAUUACCCGCAUAUUCCAUGUUUUCGUUACCAAAUNNNN